CUGUACACAAAGGUUUCAAUUUCUCUAUAUCCUUACCAACACUUAUUUUUUGUUUCUUGUUAAUAGCCAUCCUAAUGAAUGUGAAGUCCAUUUACCUUUUAAAACUUUAGAAUUUCCUACUAUUUGUACAAAUACUACAAAAUAAAGAGAUUAACUCUUUUAUUAUCUCCCACUAAUCUCUUCCAGCUUGUUCACAUUUUUAUUUAUGUAUUUUAUUUACAGAGCAAUGUUAAUCUGGUUACUUGUCUUCCGUUUCUGACACAUUUUCUUUUUCUCUUCAGUGUGUUGCUAUAAGAAACAUGUUGAAAGGGUGAUUUCUAUUGUUUAUACCUGAUAAAGGUCUUUGGCCUUUUUUUUCUUCUGGGAGUGCUGAUGUAUUAAGGAGUGUGAUAGGUCAACUUUUGGGACAACUCUUCUUAAAGGAGGAACUCAUUUUACAUAGCUGUGAUCUUGAACAGGUAUGUGUGAAUUCUGUUGUGUGAACUGAAUCAUAUUGGGUGAACUAGGAAAUAAAAGGAAUUCGAGAUGACUCUUCCUCUGGGUAAGCAAUAGUCCCUAAUUAAUGUUUUAUUUGCUUAGGACAGGAUACAACUCUAGGUAAAAUGUAUCUAUCACACCCUAGUUACGCCUGUUCCUUCCCUCUUGACAACCACAUACUUUCUCUUAACCGCAGGUUAAUUUUCAGCGAAUCAAGAAUUAACGAAAGGCCACAUACGUGGGAAUGAGACUUCAUAAACAGAAUGUUUGAAGUCCCCAAUUAACCUCUUGCACAUACUUAUAUUGAGUGCUGAGUUUUAACUCCUUGUGGUCUUGCGGGAGGCAGAAUUCUAAAAAGACCCACCAUCACCCAUGCCUUUGUGUAAUCCCCAUCUCUUGAGGGUGAGUGGGACCUGUAACUCACUACUAACCAAUGGAAUAUGGCAAAGGAGAAGGUAUGCUGCAGAUGUAAUUAAAGUCCCUAAUCAGUUAAUUUUAUAUUAAUUCAAAAGGGGAGAUUAUCCUGGGUGGGCCUCACCUAAUUAGGUGAGACCAUUAAGAAAGCAUCUGGGGUCAGAGACUCUCACUGUUGCUGGAUUGAAGAAGGAAGCUGCCAUGAAUCCUACAGCGGCAAGGCAUGAAUUCUGCCCACAACCUAAGGGAGCCUGGAAGUGCGUCCUUCCCUAGCUGAGCCUCUAGGUGAGAAUGCCGUCCAGCUGGCACCUUGAUUUCAGCCUGCGAGAUGCUGAGCAAAAGACCCAGCUUAACCUAGUCAAGCUGUGCCUGGAUUCCUGACCCACACAAACAGUAAUUCAAGAAUUGUAUGUUGUUUUAAGCUGCUAAAUUUGUGGUAAUUUGUGUUGCAGCAACAGAAAACUACUACACAUCUCGAGGCAGUAAAACCAUCCAAGAAAAGGUGGCAAGUGUAAUAAACGUGACAUAGUAGGCCCACCCUUAUCAAGGGCAGGCAGUGGGGCAAAGCUGGGAGCAAGUAGGUGUCCUUUCAUUCUCCCAGCUUUCUGAGCAGAGAAACAGGAACUCAGCAUGUCUCUUUGCAGUUUCUGUAGUCUCUUAUGCAGUAAAUCCACAAGCCUGGGAAGUCUUUUCUCUAUAGAUUCAGUUCUCAACACAAAGGAACACCCUUUUCUGAUCCUCUUCGUCAUAAGACACGAGCACCAGUACUGAUCCAUAAUGUAAGGCUAUCACUGCUUCCUGAAUGCCAUCUGGUUACGUAACAGCUGGUUACCAUAACAGAACUUGCCUUCUCAAUAAACUGAGCAGCUCCUCCAGAAAAUGUUUCACGGGGAUGGAGAUAGUAUAUAUCGUGGAGGGGGAAACUGUGCAGAAAGAUUAAAUAGUUUUCCCAAGGUCAAAGCUGAGUCACUGGCCAAAUCAAGAACAGGACCUGAACCUUGGGUUCUUAGGGGAAGUCCAACAUUAAAUCGAAAGCAGAGAGACUGAUGCUUGUCGGCUCUGUUUUUUCACUUUUGGAAGUGUGAGCGUCAAUUUCAUCCCAACCCUGUCUACGAACUGCUAGUCCUCAACAUCCUACCAGAUUACAUACAUUUUGAGGACAGGGAUUGGCAAAGAAAACUUCAAAUAUUUUUUAAAUGAAUGACAAUCAUAGCAUGCAACAGCUCUGGGGAAAAUGGUCCAGGUUGGAUCAGUCCAGAAAACUCUGGGAGAUACCAGGGGAUUUUUAGGUGGUCAAACCAUCUGGUUCUCUCUGAGGCUCACCAGGAAGCAGAGAUGCUCAGAGGGAUAUGCUGGAGGGCAUCAGCAUCACCCAAGGAGCUGGUUUACGAUGGAGAGUUUCGGCGGCACCCCCUGAAAUUCCAGUUCAGAAGUUUGGGGUGAGCCUAGGAAUCUGCAUUUUAACCAUCACUCCAGGUGAGUCUGUUGUAGGUGGCCUCCACUAUUGGAGAGACAUCAAGUGGACUAGAAACCUACUAGAUAUCUACACUGGCUAUCUGCACCAGCGUUUUGUGUGCUUGCAAACAUUUCAAAACUCCUUAUAAACAAGACAGCAUUGCUAAUGAGGAAAUUGAGGAAUAGCGUGGUUACAUAACUUGCCCAAUAUUUACCAUCAACUUGCUGUAAGAGCCAAGAACAGGAAAAAAAAAAAAAAGCAAAACAAAACACAAUCCUCUGAGGCUUUCACACCCCCUCUCCCGCCCCAUUCCAUGUCCUAAGACAACUCCAGCAGAAAAUAACAGGAGGGCCCUUGGACUGUGUUGAUAUUGGCAGCAAAAGCACAUCCAGUUAUUCAGUCUCAAUAAAAGAACAUUUUUUGAAUCUUUCAAAGCCAGCCACACUAAGGCUAUAACGAGUUUACCUCAUUUAAAUCUAUGCAGCAGAACCACUCAAGGAAGGCAGGCCUAAACCCAUCCUUGGGAAAUCAAGCUGGCGUCAAUAUAAACAAGAUUUAAAAGCCCUCCAGACAUCUGGUCUGACUUAAUAGAUCUCUUGGUGUUUUCUGGACUCUUUAAAUGUUAACCAGGAGGUCACAUGCUUACCUUCUCUUCUUUCCUAUAGAUAGACAAGUCAUUUAUCCAAAUCAAAUAAGCCAGAAGUAUCACAGUUAUAUCUCAAUUUUCAUAAAUCGAUUAAUUGAUUAAUGUAUUUCUGUGUGUGUAUUUAUUUAUUAAUUUAUUCCCCAUUUUCCCAGAAGUGAUUUUUGGUAGCUUAUAAGGACUCAAAAUAUAAGACAAAGAAGAAAUUACAAACAGGAUCUUAAAUUAAGCUGAGAGAGAUGGAGAAAACCAUGGGCCUCAUUUUGCCUUAACAGAUGUAGUCCUAGAAAGAAAAUGUAUUUGGAUCUAAUAAAUUUUUGUUAUUUGCAUUAUAAUUUAGAAAGUGUUUUAUCAAUACUUUCUCUUUUUUUCAAUUGGCAGUGGUGCCUAAUCCUUCAGACUUCGGUUUCCUUACUCCUAUUCCCACCUCUGCAUCAAGUAAUUAAUAAAUCAAAAGCAAAUACUUAAAUGCAUUCUGGAAGAUUCCUAAGAGACCUUGGAACAUAUCACUUUUUAAUGUCAAGAUUUCUUUGGAAAUUCUCGUUAGGUCACCUUGAUUAAAAUGCACCUGGACCUAUAAAGACAGUGUGGAACAUCACCACAGUGGGAAUUCCUGCAUCAAGGGAUAACUAGCAGAAAAAACUCUUCAAAAUAUGCAUUAUAAGCGGUAACUUCUUCCCCCAUGGAUGGCCCUGGGAAAAGAUGAAGAGCACAUGCUUUUUAAAGGAAUCUAGAACCUGCCUUAGGUCAUCAUGAAGAAAGGAAGAAACAACAACACCUGUUGCCCAACUGCGUGUCUGCAACGAUGCUGAAGAGCACCACCGUUUAUAAUGAGUCAGCAUGUGAACUUCCGGGAGCUCUCAGGGGGAAGUAGAAAAGAGAAUCCAAGCCGACCCCUGAAUUUCUUCAACAACCUGUCAGUGCUACUUCUUGCUCAACCAAACCUAACACUGUUACGCGCCACAUAACAACCUUUUGGUCAACCAUGGACCACAUAUACAAUGGUGGUCCCAUAAGAAUUACCAACCUACAAGGCAGAGGAGGAAACGGAGACUCAGAAACAUUAAGUAACUUCUCCGAGGACCCCUGCGAGUAAGUGGCAGAACUGGGACACAGCCCAGCCUCUCUGAGGCCGAGCUCCCCGUCUAUACCAAGAUGCCUUUCUCUGCUCCCCAGGUUUGGUGAAAACAGCAGUGAUUAAAUGUGAACAAGUGACGUAUCUGCUUAUCGUUACAGUUUAUUCCAUCUACUUCAGGGGCUUUACAAAAACAGAUUUCGAGAGAAAGGUAACAUAGUUAUUCUGCCCUUUCCUGUCUCCUUGAUGCAAAUCCCUAGGUUUCUCAGAAAAGUGAAAGGCCUUACUCAGACAGUGUAAAUCUGCUUUGAGAUACAAACGUGUGUUUAAGGGGAAAAAGAACAUGAUUCAGGCCUAAACAAAAUAAAUUAGUUCUUUAAAUAAUGGAAUUACAGUCUCCCAAAUUUGGAACAUCAGUUGCGCCGGGUAACACUGUUACCUGAGCUUGCACUUGCCAUUGUUCUCAGCAUCCUUUUUCUCAUGUGUUGAUUCUUACAACAUAAUUCUUAAGAACUAGUGCCUUGCAGUUGGCAAGAAGAAAGCCUUGAUAACAGGUUUUUAAAAGUCAUUUGUACUUAGAGAAAUUUAGGAUGACAUCUUGGGGCACCUAACAUCACUCGGGAAGAUCAUUUAACCUCUUCAAAUUACAGUUUUAUUAUUAAUAAAGUAAGAGGCAGCCUGAGGUCCUUUUUACCUCAAAAAUUCCAUAUUAUUACGCCUGAUCAGAUAAAGGAGUUCUAAAACUAACUCGUCUCCAUUCCUCUUUUGCUCAUUUGCUCCCUCCUUUUCUUUUGCUUCAGCUCCAGUUAUCUCCAUUCAACCCCAAACAC
Molecule: non-coding RNA, 4895 nt
Organism: Equus caballus (horse)
Lineage: Eukaryota; Metazoa; Chordata; Mammalia; Perissodactyla; Equidae
Source: RefSeq, a predicted model, not a curated record